Larimichthys crocea (large yellow croaker) is the source of this 107-nucleotide small nuclear RNA. The record is from Ensembl. Lineage: Eukaryota; Metazoa; Chordata; Actinopteri; Sciaenidae.
AUGCUUGCUCAGGCAGCACAUCUAAUAAAUUGGAUUCGAUACAGAGAAGAUUAGCAUGGCCCCUGCAAAAGGAUGACACGCAAAUUCGUGAAGCGUAUCCACAUUUU